This 241-nucleotide long non-coding RNA is filed under the name Lathyrus oleraceus (garden pea). RNAcentral describes it as "Pisum sativum (pea) long non-coding RNA (PSAT_LNC020371)". The record is from RNAcentral. Lineage: Eukaryota; Viridiplantae; Streptophyta; Magnoliopsida; Fabales; Fabaceae.
UAGUGUUUCAUUAAGGAGUUAGAGGCAAUUUAUUAAUGUCUACUCGAAUUGCGGUUGCGAUUGUGGCUUCUCACGCCGCGGCAAAGCGAGUGGCUUUAGAUUAAGCCAUUCUUUAAAAGCAUAGGAUUUGGUGAUCUAGAAACUCGAGAAAUCAGAGUUAGAACGAUGCUUGACCAGAUCGAAUAUGGUGGACCUUUGUGUUCGAUUUUAUAAGCUCUUGAUUUAGUCACAUGUGAAGGUU